CCACUACGUCAGGGGAGUCCCGCCCAAGGGACUGAGAGGCUGAUUGACGGCGGAAACCCCGCCCGAGGUGACGCGACCCUUAGAACCUGACCCAGUUGAUGCUGGCGUAGGAAGACCGAAGGGCAAUUCC
This 130-nucleotide non-coding RNA is filed under the name Celeribacter baekdonensis. RNAcentral describes it as "TPP sequence". It matches the Rfam family "TPP riboswitch aptamer (THI element)". Rfam says of the family: Vitamin B(1) in its active form thiamin pyrophosphate (TPP) is an essential coenzyme that is synthesised by coupling of pyrimidine and thiazole moieties in bacteria. The previously detected thiamin-regulatory element, thi box was extended, resulting in a new, highly conserved RNA secondary structure, the THI element, which is widely distributed in eubacteria and also occurs in some archaea. Analysis of operon structures identified a large number of new candidate thiamin-regulated genes, mostly transporters, in various prokaryotic organisms. RNAcentral also lists the same sequence under 1 other name. The record is from RNAcentral. Lineage: Bacteria; Pseudomonadati; Pseudomonadota; Alphaproteobacteria; Rhodobacterales; Roseobacteraceae.